CUACAGGCCAAAAUUGUCCUCAGGUCAG
RNAcentral lists this non-coding RNA (28 nucleotides) under Homo sapiens (human). The record is from RNAcentral. Lineage: Eukaryota; Metazoa; Chordata; Mammalia; Primates; Hominidae.